GCUGCUCCUCCCGCUUCGCUCCGCGCUCUCCUGCCGCUCCGCUCCGGGUCUCCCGCGCUCCUCUCCCCGGCUCGGCCGAGCGCGCUGCCCCGACGCCGCCACCCAGAGCCGGACCGCGCCGGGCGCCGAGAUGAAGGUGCUGGGACACCGGCUGGAGCUGCUCACAGGCCUCCUGCUCCACGACGUGACCAUGGCCGGGCUGCAGGAGCUGCGAUUCCCUGAGGAGAAGCCGCUGCUCCGGGGCCAGGACGCCACCGAGCUGGAGAGCUCCGAUGCCUUCCUCUUGGCUGCAGACACAGACUGGAAGGCCUCGGGCGAGCUCACCACCCAGAUCCUUGCUGCCCAGGAGAACAGGGCACGGAGCCUGAGAUGGACCUAGUGUUCUGCUCCCCAGAGACCCGAGAGCCAAGCCCCAAACUGGUCGCCUCUGGGAAUGAGGGCCGGGUGGGUCUACAGGAGGUGGGCAUGUCAAUGUCAGCAACCUGCCUCCUAGCCCCGCUUCCUCUCCCUGGUGGCCUGGAGCCCCUGGCAGCAGGGUGAGGGUGGGGAGGGCAGAGCUGGU
This 562-nucleotide small RNA is filed under the name Pongo abelii (Sumatran orangutan). Its description in RNAcentral is "processed transcript". The record is from RNAcentral. Lineage: Eukaryota; Metazoa; Chordata; Mammalia; Primates; Hominidae.